Molecule: long non-coding RNA, 785 nt
Filed under: Equus caballus (horse)
Lineage: Eukaryota; Metazoa; Chordata; Mammalia; Perissodactyla; Equidae
Description: lncRNA (ENSECAG00000051614.1)
Source: RNAcentral
AGUAUCUAGAUUAGUGUUUGAUUGCCAUGGGAUAAAAACCUUGGGGAGCAGCAUCUUUGGAAUUCUGCCUGCCACAUCUUUGGUUCUGGUCACUUUAAUAUUUCUACACAAGGUCAUGAUCAUCAGUGCAAGUUUCUAAUAUAUGAGAGACUAGAGGGUUAAACAGAGGUGUUGCACCUAAAGAAGUAAAUAUAAAUGAGACAAUGGAAGACCCAGCCCCUAGUGUAACAUCUCAAACAUCGAUGUAUUUGUGCCCUCGGAGAGCCCAGGAGAGGCAAAAGAUUGAUCCACCAAGAGAGGAAAUCUGAUCUGAUGAGAAAACUGAUGCUCAGCACGAGCUGGGAUCCAAGUCCACCUAUAUCUGACAGUUACGUGCUGCUAUGCUGCCCCUGAAUGUCUCUACGCUAGAUGCCUUACAUAUAUCAUUUGAUGCUCACAACAACUCUUUGAGCAGAGGAUACUGGAGGAAGAGGCUGAGGUGUUCCCAGGUCCGCUAUGGAAGAAGGGAUCAUCAUAGCCAACUUGGCAAUAAGGCCAUAGCAAUGGAGAAGACAGUGUUCACACCUACAUCUAAGUUUUCUGAUAACUUCCAAUGCAAAUGAAGUGAAAAUAGGAAAGAGAGACUACAUCUAUGAAAGGGAAUGAGGAAAGAGGAGGCCUAAACAGUAGCCCCUGUCUGGGAAGAACUAAAGACAGACCUCAAUGAAAUGUAUCAAAGAAGUCCUUACUGCAUGUUUGUGAAGCCUCUAGAAGAUACUAGUGUGUGUCCUAAUGAAGCAUCAUCC